CUUUGCUGUUAAUGUCGUAUCCAUAACCUCUUUUCCAGAACUCCAGCAGGUCACUUGCAUACUCCAUAAUCUGUUGGUGCACCAGAAGCAAAUAACAGUUAGUCCAAGAGUUACAUACAGUUGUGCCUCAGGAGAGGAAUAACAAAACCCAUGA
This is a long non-coding RNA of Thalassophryne amazonica, 154 nucleotides long. RefSeq lists it as uncharacterized. The record is from RefSeq and is a predicted model, not a curated record. The transcript has 3 exons. NCBI's taxonomy places the organism in Eukaryota, Metazoa, Chordata, Actinopteri, Batrachoidiformes, Batrachoididae.